UACGGAGGAUCCAAGCGUUAUCCGGAAUCAUUGGGUUUAAAGGGUCCGUAGGCGGUUUUGUAAGUCAGUGGUGAAAGCCCAUCGCUCAACGGUGGAACGGCCAUUGAUACUGCAAGACUUGAAUUAUUGGGAAGCAACUAGAAUAUGUAGUGUAGCGGUGAAAUGCUUAGAUAUUACAUGGAAUACCAAUUGCGAAGGCAGGUUGCUACCAAUACAUUGACGCUGAUGGA
This 230-nucleotide ribosomal RNA is filed under the name uncultured bacterium. RNAcentral describes it as "partial 16S ribosomal RNA". It matches the Rfam family "Bacterial small subunit ribosomal RNA", at positions 524 to 753 of the family's 1533-position model. The record is from RNAcentral.